Catharus ustulatus (Swainson's thrush) is the source of this 306-nucleotide long non-coding RNA. RefSeq lists it as uncharacterized. NCBI's taxonomy places the organism in Eukaryota, Metazoa, Chordata, Aves, Passeriformes, Turdidae. The transcript is spliced from 3 exons. The record is from RefSeq and is a predicted model, not a curated record.
AGUUGCCUGACAACCUGACCAUGGAAGAUUUGGAGCUGCAGAAGGAGUUUGUGUCCUUUGGAACUCCUGGCAAAUAACUGGGAUUCUCUGAGGAAACAUGAUGGGUCAGGAGGAGGAGGGGAGGCGAGGACAGCCAUCUCCAAAAUGCAGUAGAUGUGCCUUUCCGGCUCUACACUGGUUGCACUCAGGCAAGCUGACGGGAAUCGGUGGUGGCAGCCAUGCGAAUGAGGGCUGCUGAAGUUACAGUUGCAAUAUAAAGAUGACAAGAAGUUCAAGACAAGAUAAAGGACCCCAGUGAGAUUGGAC